RNAcentral lists this non-coding RNA (209 nucleotides) under Eubacteriales bacterium. Its description in RNAcentral is "6S RNA". It matches the Rfam family "6S / SsrS RNA". Rfam says of the family: E. coli 6S RNA was the first non coding RNA to be sequenced, but its function was unknown until recently. It consists of 184 nucleotides that fold into an extended hairpin structure with a large single-stranded internal bulge. The record is from RNAcentral. Lineage: Bacteria; Bacillati; Bacillota; Clostridia; Eubacteriales.
UCAUUCCUGCUGUGUGCGUGCCGUCCGUAUCGGACAUGUGGCUCAUUAAACCCACAUCUCUAAUAAGGGAUGCCGACUUGAAUCUGCGGAUUGCAGGCCUCCCGGUGUUUUCUGCGCCGGAUGUUGGAAGCAGCGAAACAGAACUUAGGCGACCCACCUGCCCUUUCGUGCAGGUUAUAAUUGAGCCAGCACGGCAUUUGCGGGAUGCU